RNAcentral lists this ribosomal RNA (330 nucleotides) under uncultured bacterium. Its description in RNAcentral is "bacterial SSU rRNA". It matches the Rfam family "Bacterial small subunit ribosomal RNA", at positions 568 to 898 of the family's 1533-position model. The record is from RNAcentral.
CGCGUAGGCGGCUAUUCAAGUCGCAAGUGAAAUACCAGGGCUUAACCUUGGGGGGUCUUGCGAAACUGAGUGGCUUGAGUGCAGUAGAGGUAAGCGGAAUUCCUGGUGUAGCGGUAAAAUGCGUAGAGAUCAGGAGGAACACCGGUGGCGAAGGCGGCUUACUGGGCUGCAACUGACGCUGAGGCGCGAAAGCGUGGGGAGCAAACAGGAUUAGAUACCCUGGUAGUCCACGCGGUAAACGAUGAUUACUAGGUGUGGGUAUCGCAGGAUAUCCGUGCCGGAGCAAACGCAAUAAGUAAUCCGCCUGGGGAGUACGGCCGCAAGGUUGAA